GGGCGUAAAGGGCUCCGCAGGCGGUUUCUUAAGUCUGAUGUGAAAGCCCCCGGCUCAACCGGGGAGGGUCAUUGGAAACUGGGGAACUUGAGUGCAGAAGAGGAGAGUGGAAUUCCACGUGUAGCGGUGAAAUGCGUAGAGAUGUGGAGGAACACCAGUGGCGAAGGCGACUCUCUGGUCUGUAACUGACGCUGAGGAGCGAAAGCGUGGGGAGCGAACAGGAUUAGAUACCCUGGUAGUCCACGCCGUAAACGAUGAGUGCUAAGUGUUAGGGGGUUUCCGCCCCUUAGUGCUGCAGCUAACGCAUUAAGCACUCCGCCUGGGGAGUACGGUCGCAAGACUGAAACUCAAAGGAAUUGACGGGGGCCCGCACAAGCGGUGGAGCAUGUGGUUUAAUUCGAAGCAACGCGAAGAACCUUACCAGGUCUUGACAUCCUCUGACAAUCCUAGAGAUAGGACGUCCCCUUCGGGGGCAGAGUGACAGGUGGUGCAUGGUUGUCGUCAGCUCGUGUCGUGAGAUGUUGGGUUAAGUCCCGCAACGAGCGCAACCCUUGAUCUUAGUUGCCAGCAUUCAGUUGGGCACUCUAAGGUGACUGCCGGUGACAAACCGGAGGAAGGUGGGGAUGACGUCAAAUCAUCAUGCCCCUUAUGACCUGGGCUACACACGUGCUACAAUGGACAGAACAAAGGGCAGCGAAACCGCGAGGUUAAGCCAAUCCCACAAAUCUGUUCUCAGUUCGGAUCGCAGUCUGCAACUCGACUGCGUGAAGCUGGAAUCGCUAGUAAUCGCGGAUC
This 795-nucleotide ribosomal RNA is filed under the name Bacillus subtilis. RNAcentral describes it as "bacterial SSU rRNA". It matches the Rfam family "Bacterial small subunit ribosomal RNA", at positions 556 to 1350 of the family's 1533-position model. The record is from RNAcentral. Lineage: Bacteria; Bacillati; Bacillota; Bacilli; Caryophanales; Bacillaceae.